GCUUAAUUGCCGGCGACCGGCGCACGGGUGCGUAACAGGUGUGCAAUCUGUCCAGUAUCGGGGGAUAGCCCGAGCGAAAGCUGAAUUAACACUCCAUGUGAAUCGAAGCCGCAUGACUUUGAUUUGAAACGCAAGGACUAUGGGUGAGCACGCUUCUGAUUAGGUAGUUGGUGGGGUAAACGGCCCACCAAGCCAACGAUCAGUAGGGGUUCUGAGAGGAAGGUCCCCCACAUUGGAACUGAGACACGGUCCAAACUCCUACGGGAGGCAGCAGUGAGGAAUAUUGGUCAAUGGGCGAGAGCCUGAACCAGCCAAGUCGCCGUGAAGGAUGAAGGUUCUAUGGAUUGUAAACUUCUUUUGUCCGAGGGUAAAAAAGGCUACGUGUAGCUUCUUGCAAGUAUCGGACGAAUAAGCAUCGGCUAACUCCGUGCCAGCCGCGGC
Molecule: ribosomal RNA, 441 nt
Filed under: uncultured bacterium
Lineage: Bacteria
Description: bacterial SSU rRNA
Rfam family: Bacterial small subunit ribosomal RNA
Source: RNAcentral